Molecule: long non-coding RNA, 351 nt
Organism: Mauremys reevesii (Reeves's turtle)
Lineage: Eukaryota; Metazoa; Chordata; Testudines; Geoemydidae
Exons: 3
Source: RefSeq, a predicted model, not a curated record
AAAGGAAUUAGAGUCGUGGCCUUCUUCAAGAAGAGAACACAACAUCGAAUAUAGCAAAUUGGCAAUAAAUGCAAAGAGCAAAGCGGAGGUGUAACAUACUCUCAGCAAUCUAAAUGGCAGACAGCUGCAAUUUGCAUCAGUUGGAGAUUCCAAGUAGCAUUCAAGACUGCAAGCAGAGCGCACUGAAUUAGUAUCUCAUGGAGAUAACAAAGGAGUGUGGCGAUAUCGCCAUCUGAGAGACUGCAGAACCUAUUUCCAUUGAUUCACAAUAUUGAAACAAUAGGAUUUGCAGGAAAGGAAACCAUGGUAACCAACUAAACCUACUGCAGCAGAUAUCAGCGCAAAAGAACA